Molecule: ribosomal RNA, 401 nt
Filed under: uncultured dinoflagellate
Lineage: Eukaryota; Dinophyceae
Description: partial small subunit ribosomal RNA
Rfam family: Eukaryotic small subunit ribosomal RNA
Source: RNAcentral
GCUUGUCUCAAAGAUUAAGCCAUGCAUGUCUCAGUAUAAGUUCUUAUAUGGCGAAACUGCGAAUGGCUCAUUAAAACAGUUAUAGUUUAUUUGAUGGUUGCUUACUACAUGGAUAACUGUGGUAAUUCUAGAGCUAAUACAUGCAUCAAUACCCGACUUUGUGGAAGGGUUGUGUUUAUUAGAUAUAGAACCAACCCAGGCUCUGCCUGGUUUUGUGGUGAUUCAUGAUAACUGAAUGAAUCGCAUGGUCCGCCGGCGAUAAAUCAUUCAAGUUUCUGACCUAUCAGCUUUCGAUGGUAGUGUAUUGGACUACCAUGGCAGUAACGGGUAACGAAGAAUUAGGGUUCGAUUUCGGAGAGGGAGCAUGAGAAACGGCUACCACAUCUAAGGAAGGCAGCAGG